This is a long non-coding RNA of Contarinia nasturtii (swede midge), 351 nucleotides long. RefSeq lists it as uncharacterized. The transcript has 3 exons. The record is from RefSeq and is a predicted model, not a curated record. Lineage: Eukaryota; Metazoa; Arthropoda; Insecta; Diptera; Cecidomyiidae.
UGAACACGCUGAUAUUGUGAUAAAUUUCGAUGUUCCAGAAGAUUCGCAAACGUAUGUGAACCGUUUGGCUCAUUAUCGCGCUGCUAGUGCAAUCACAUUGUUUUCGAUUGAGGAAGCUGGAAUUUGGAACAAUAUUCAAAAGGAUCUGGAGAUUAGGUCGGAUUCGCCAAUACAUUCACAAAAUGGAUUUAUAAAGAAAUGUCGUUUAGGCGCGUUUCUAUCCCACAGGAAAAAUAAAGUAAAUAAAUUAGAGCUACCUAUCUCCAAUUUCAUUUAAAUCAGCCAAACCAGUGAAACGGAAUUUACAUAUUAAAUUAUCGUUAUGAAUUCCCGUACUAAUCCAUAUGUCAU